GACGAACGCUGGCGGCGUGCUUAACACAUGCACGUCGAACGGAAAGGCCCUGCUCUUGUGGGUUUCUCGAUUGGCGAACGGGUGAGUAACACGUGUGUAACCUGCCCUUGACUUUGUGAUAACUUCUGGGAACUCGGGCUAAUACCGGAUAGGAGCUCCUGCUGCAUGGUGGGGGUUGGAAAAUUUCGGCGGUGGGGGAUGGUCUCGCUGCUUAUCAGCUUGUUGGUGGGGUAGUGGCAUACCAAGGCUUUGACGGGUAGCCGGCCUGGGAGGGUGACCGGCGACAUUGGGCCUGCGAGAGGGACCAGAAGGCAACGGGCGGCAGCAGUGGGGAAUAUUGCGCAACGGGCGGAAGCCUGAUGCAGAAACGCCGCGUGCGGGAUGCCGGCUUUCGAGUUGUAAACCGAUUUCGAAUGUGACGAAGCGGGCGUGACGGUAAUGGGUAAAGAAGCAACGGCUAACUACGUG
RNAcentral lists this ribosomal RNA (468 nucleotides) under uncultured bacterium. Its description in RNAcentral is "partial 16S ribosomal RNA". It matches the Rfam family "Bacterial small subunit ribosomal RNA", at positions 28 to 507 of the family's 1533-position model. The record is from RNAcentral.